Molecule: ribosomal RNA, 253 nt
Filed under: uncultured bacterium
Lineage: Bacteria
Description: partial 16S ribosomal RNA
Rfam family: Bacterial small subunit ribosomal RNA
Source: RNAcentral
UACGGAGGGGGCUAGCGUUGUUCGGAAUUACUGGGCGUAAAGCGCGCGUAGGCGGAUCUGCAAGUCGGGGGUGAAAUCCCGAGGCUCAACCUCGGAACUGCCUUCGAUACUGCGGGUCUCGAGUCCGGGAGAGGUGAGUGGAAUUCCUAGUGUAGAGGUGAAAUUCGUAGAUAUUAGGAAGAACACCAGUGGCGAAGGCGGCUCACUGGCCCGGUACUGACGCUGAGGCGCGAAAGCGUGGGGAGCAGACAGG